RNAcentral lists this ribosomal RNA (173 nucleotides) under uncultured bacterium. RNAcentral describes it as "partial 16S ribosomal RNA". It matches the Rfam family "Bacterial small subunit ribosomal RNA", at positions 338 to 503 of the family's 1533-position model. The record is from RNAcentral.
CCUACGGGAGGCAGCAGUGGGGAAUAUUGCACAAUGGGCGCAAGCCUGAUGCAGCCAUGCCGCGUGUAUGAAGAAGGCCUUCGGGUUGUAAAGUACUCUCAGCAGUGAGGAAGGCGGGUACGUUAAUAGCGUGCUCGUUUGACGUUAGCUGCAGAAGAAGCACCGGCUGACUC